CCUACGGGUGGCUGCAGUGGGGAAUUUUGGACAAUGGGCGCAAGCCUGAUCCAGCCAUUCCGCGUGAGUGAAGAAGGCCUUCGGGUUGUAAAGCUCUUUCGGCCGGGAAGAAAUCGCACGGGUUAAUACCCUGUGUGGAUGAAGGUACUGGAAGAAGAAGCACCGGCUAACUACGUGCCAGCAGCCGCGGUAAUACGUAGGGUGCGAGCGUUAAUCGGAAUGACUGGGCGUAAUGUGGGCGCAGGGGGUUAAAAUCCCCGGGCUUAACCUGGGAACGACGGUUGUGACUGCAAGACUUGAGUGCGGCAGAGGGGGGUGGAAUUCCACGUGUAGCAGUGAAAUGCGUAGAGAUGUGGAGGAACACCGAUGGCGAAGGCAGCCCCCUGGGUCGACACUGACGCUCAUGCACGAAAGCGUGGGGAGCAAACAGGAUUAGAUACCCUGGUAGUC
This 450-nucleotide ribosomal RNA is filed under the name uncultured bacterium. Its description in RNAcentral is "partial 16S ribosomal RNA". It matches the Rfam family "Bacterial small subunit ribosomal RNA", at positions 338 to 795 of the family's 1533-position model. The record is from RNAcentral.